GACGAACGCUGGCGGCGUGCUUAACACAUGCAAGUCGAACGGUGAAGCCCUUCGGGGUGGAUCAGUGGCGAACGGGUGAGUAACACGUGAGCAACCUGCCCCUGGCUCUGGGACAACCACUGGAAACGGUGGCUAAUACCGGAUACGACCCGCCUCGGCAUCGAGUGUGGGUGGAAAGUUUUUCGGCUGGGGAUGGGCUCGCGGCCUAUCAGCUUGUUGGUGAGGUGAAGGCUCACCAAGGCGACGACGGGUAGCCGGCCUGAGAGGGCGACCGGCCACACUGGGACUGAGACACGGCCCAGACUCCUACGGGAGGCAGCAGUGGGGAAUAUUGCACAAUGGGCGAAAGCCUGAUGCAGCGACGCCGCGUGAGGGAUGACGGCCUUCGGGUUGUAAACCUCUUUCAGCUCCGAAGAAGCGAAAGUGACGGUAGGAGCAGAAGAAGCACCGGCUAACUACGUG
This 462-nucleotide ribosomal RNA is filed under the name uncultured bacterium. RNAcentral's name for it is "partial 16S ribosomal RNA". It matches the Rfam family "Bacterial small subunit ribosomal RNA", at positions 28 to 507 of the family's 1533-position model. The record is from RNAcentral.